This 254-nucleotide ribosomal RNA is filed under the name uncultured bacterium. RNAcentral's name for it is "partial 16S ribosomal RNA". It matches the Rfam family "Bacterial small subunit ribosomal RNA", at positions 524 to 776 of the family's 1533-position model. The record is from RNAcentral.
UACGAAGGGGGCUAGCGUUGUUCGGAAUCACUGGGCGUAAAGCGCACGCAGGCGGAUCGUUAAGUCAGGGGUGAAAUGCCGAGGCUCAACCUCGGAACUGCCUUUGAUACUGGCGAUCUUAGAGUCCGGGAGAGGUGAGUGGAACUCCGAGUGUAGAGGUGAAAUUCGUAGAUAUUCGGAAGAACACCAGUGGCGAAGGCGGCUCACUGGACCGGUAUUGACGCUGAGGUGCGAAAGCGUGGGGAGCAAACAGG